UCCUGCUUAACUCAGUUUGGUAGAGUGACGGACUGUUAAUCCGUUUGUCCCUGGUUCGAGUCCAGGAGCAGGAGCCA
This 77-nucleotide transfer RNA is filed under the name compost metagenome. Its description in RNAcentral is "tRNA-Asn". It matches the Rfam family "tRNA". From Rfam's summary of the family: Transfer RNA (tRNA) molecules are approximately 80 nucleotides in length. Their secondary structure includes four short double-helical elements and three loops (D, anti-codon, and T loops). The record is from RNAcentral.